CUUUUCAAACCCCAAUUUUCAUAAGAGGGGCCAAUAACGACCUGUGAGACAAUAAGCGAUAAACUUCAUUGUUGAGAGGAAAAGAGUUUGGAUCAGCAACUAACGCCUCUAAAUGACCGCUCAGUGGUAAAGGGAGUAAGGGUGUUGAGACAGAAAAAAAAAUGUUUGCGUAGAAGCAACCACCCUUGAAAGAGCGUGUAAUAGCUCACUAAUCGAGCGCUUUUCGUCGCAGAUAAACGGGGCUAAGUGGUCUGGCGAAGCUAUGAGAUGUAAAAAGACAUUGAUAGGGGAGCUUUUAAUUUAGGGGGAAGCAUCGAUGCGAGUCGUGUCUAACAGAGCGGAAGCG
Molecule: ribosomal RNA, 346 nt
Organism: Beta vulgaris subsp. vulgaris (sugar beet)
Lineage: Eukaryota; Viridiplantae; Streptophyta; Magnoliopsida; Caryophyllales; Amaranthaceae
Rfam family: Bacterial large subunit ribosomal RNA
Source: Rfam